AUUGAACGCUGGCGGCAUGCUUUACACAUGCGAGUCGAACGGUAACAGGCCUUCGGGUGCUGACGAGUGGCGCACGGGUGAGUAUUGCAUCGGAACGUACCCAGAGGUGGGGGAUAACGCAGCGAAAGCUGUGCUAAUACCGCAUGUGAUCUGAGGAUGAAAGCGGGGGACCGAGCAGCAAUGUUUGGCCUCGCGCCUUUGGAGCGGCCGAUGUCGGAUUAGCUAGUUGGUGGGGUAAAGGCCUACCAAGGCGACGAUCCGUAGCUGGUCUGAGAGGACGACCAGCCACACUGGGACUGAGACACGGCCCAGACUCCUACGGGAGGCAGCAGUGGGGAAUUUUGGACAAUGGGCGCAAGCCUGAUCCAGCAAUGCCGCGUGCGGGAAGAAGGCCUUCGGGUUGUAAACCGCUUUUGGCAGGAACGAAACGGUGUCCGCUAAUACCGGGCGCUAAUGACGGUACCUGCAGAAUAAGCACCGGCUAACUACGUG
This 492-nucleotide ribosomal RNA is filed under the name uncultured bacterium. RNAcentral's name for it is "partial 16S ribosomal RNA". It matches the Rfam family "Bacterial small subunit ribosomal RNA", at positions 29 to 507 of the family's 1533-position model. The record is from RNAcentral.